RNAcentral lists this ribosomal RNA (414 nucleotides) under uncultured microorganism. RNAcentral's name for it is "bacterial SSU rRNA". It matches the Rfam family "Archaeal small subunit ribosomal RNA", at positions 459 to 872 of the family's 1478-position model. The record is from RNAcentral.
CAGCCGCCGCGGUAAUACCGGCGGCCCGAGUGGCGGCUACUAUUAUUGGGCCUAAAGCGUCCGUAGCCGGGCUGGUAAGUCCUCCGGGAAAUCUGGUCGCUUAACGAUCAGACUUCCGGAGGAUACUGCUGGCCUAGGGACCGGGAGAGGCCGAGGGUAUUCCCGGGGUAGGGGUGAAAUCCUGUAAUCCCGGGAGGACCACCUGUGGCGAAGGCGCUCGGCUGGAACGGGGCCGACGGGGAGGGACGAAGGCCAGGGGAGCGAACCGGAGUAGAUACCCGGGUAGUCCUGGCUGUAAACGAUGCGGACUAGGUGUCGGGCAAGCUAAGGGCUUGUCCGGUGCCGCAGGGAAGCCGUUAAGUCCGCCGCCUGGGGAGUACGGCCGCAAGGCUGAAACUUAAAGGAAUUGGCGGG